Ictidomys tridecemlineatus (thirteen-lined ground squirrel) is the source of this 1154-nucleotide non-coding RNA. Lineage: Eukaryota; Metazoa; Chordata; Mammalia; Rodentia; Sciuridae. The record is from RefSeq and is a predicted model, not a curated record.
AGAAGGGUCCAGCCCGAAGGUCAGCGGAGCCGGGCUGUGGAGGCCGAUUCAGGCUGCGUCUCUCUUUGCAGAGAAAUUGCCCCAUCAGCUCCUAAUCCAGAAGCCCCGCUUCCCAGACAGCCGAGUGAGUGUGCAGAAAGUGAGUGUUGGCACAGGUGCACUGGGAUGUGGGGAGGCCGAGUGUGUCAGGAGGAGGGGGCACGUGCGUCACCUAGGGAAGAGCAUGUGAGUGCGUCCAGGCCGGGCAGUACACGUGUGAGUUCCUGUGUCCUGGCGGGAGGCGGGCCUGGGGCACGCAGGUGUGUGUGUGCCAGCCGGCAAGAGAGUGUGACAUGUGUGAGACCAGGGAAUCUGUGCCAUUAAGAAAAAGCACAAGUGACUACGUGCAGGGACCUAGAGAUUAUUGCGUGAAGUGAAAGGAGCCGGUCUCGAGAGGUCAGGGUGGAGUAGCCUCACCCACUGGUAGAAGAGGAAGAAGUGGCUCUUACAGACCGGGGUCCAGCGGGGUGGCCAGAGGCUGAGGGUGGUGGGAGAGAUUCCUCAGCAGGUACAAAUACAGCCGAAGAAUGGGCCUGGCGUUCUGUUGCAGGGGCCGGGAUUGUAAUUAACAAUGUUGAAUAUUUCAAAAGAGCCAGGAGAGGAGUCUGAAUGUACCCACCCCAAAGAAACGGCCCCUGGAGGAGGCCAUGCAUGUUAAGCACCCUAACUAUGGAUUCUGACGCGAUGUACGAUGCACCCAAAUACCCCGCUGCACCCCGGUGAAUUGCCCUUUGCAAUCUCUGCUACCAAGUCCAUGGGAAACUCUUCAAUGGGCAGGGACGUUUCCAGAAUAUCUGCCCAAGAAAGCGAGAGAGUUGUCACGUGCACACACCACAGAGAAGGCCAGAGCAAGGCUCGGGGAGGAGCUACCCGAGCUACCCAAACCACCCCGCCAGGCUGCUGCAGGGCUCACGGGCUACCUACCAUCUGCAGCUGAGUGGGGCCCGCUGUCCAUUUAUGAAGACUGUGAGCUAAGGAUUUAUUUAUUUAUUUUUUUACAUUUUUCAAUCAUUGGUUACAAAAAAAAAAUGCAAAAGCAGCGUAAUAUGUCAUGACUCGAAAAUGAGAUGAGAUUCCCAUUUCGGUGAAUUUAAAUAAAGUUUUAUGGAAACAUG